AGGGGACGGGCGGCGGCGGGCCCGGCUGCGGCCUAGCGAAGGGGGUUGGGGGGAAGGAGGCGGAGGGGGAAGGGAGGAGCGCCGGGUGCGCGCGCGGUUGGCGGAGAGGGGUUUGCGAGCGUGGCGGAGGUGGCACUGUUGACAGCCGCCGCCGCCGCCUCAGAGGCGAGCAGCCGCCGUCGCAGUUCUUUGUCUGGCGAAGCCCAAAAUGGCUGCAUGUUCCGCGGCGGCGGCGGCGGCUCCCGCUCUUCUCCCUCCCUGCCUGCGCGCCCCUGAGGUUUCCCUCGGCGGAGCGGGUCUGAAGGGCAACCCCGCCGCACCUGUGCCAGCUGCUGUAACCGAUACACCCGCGGGAAGGGGCGGCGGUGAGGGGAGAGGACGAGGGCCGGGCUCGACCCGGCGGCGGCCCGCCUGCUUGCGGGUGAGAAGGGCCUCGUCCCGCCGGGGAAGCCCGCCCGCCUCGCCUUAGUUGAGGAGACGGGAGGUCUCGGCCUUGGGGGAAGAAGGGCCCGCGCUCGCUUCCUGGCCAUGCCGGCUGCCGCCUCUUUCCUUCCCUCAGCCUUGGUUUCUAACAGAGUUUGAGAUCUCUCACACGGCAACCCGGGGGGACCCUUCCCCCCCCCAGCGCCUUUACAUCCCCUCGACACCCCCCAAUCCUUCUCAUGGGGCUCCCCGUUUUGCAGACACACGCACAGGCUUCCCCGCCCCAGUUGAAAUGCGCCCCCUCUCUAUUGUUAAAAAUAUUUAUAAAGAGUCCUCUUCAGUGUCAAAAUCAGCGCCCUCCUCCUCUCCCGCCUUUAUUUUUCAAAUCGCUUCCUUAACACUCUCUGCGAGGCCGGCAAGAAAUCUUUUUUCCCCCACCACGUCAAGCCGCCUUUCCAUUUAGGAGGUUCUCUAGCAUAAUUGAUCCUCGCACACGUUUUUUUUUCUUAUAUCAUGCUGUCCUGAGAGCAGCUGGCUGCUCACAUCGCAGCCAUGUCGUCAUACCUUCCAGUUUUUAAGUUGCUAUUUGAGAGAGAGAGGAGAGAUCUCCACUUUGCAUGUAAAGAAUUUCUCUGAAGGAGACAACUCCUGUUUCUAAAGUAAGUUGAAAGGAGAAGGUUAGAAGAUAGGCUUUAAAGUGCAGAGACUGAAGGAAUGUAGGACCUCACUCCAAAUCUGGGGUUGGGUACAAUUCCUCUUUCAGUGUCACUUAGAAUCGUAGAUCUGGAAGGGACUCCCAAGGGUCAUCUAGUCCAACCCGCCACAAUGCUAUCCUUAAUGAUGUUUACAUCUCUCCCCCCCACCACCUUUACAUGGCUUAACGUCACUUGUAAUCAGAUUUUGGUGUGUGUUUUUGGUCAAAACAACUCAUCGAAGCUUCCUAUAGUAGUCCUUUUGCAUUGCAAAGUCACAUUUGUUAGUGCCGCCCUUGUCAUAGUGUGGUUGGCCUGCAGUGUAAAUCUGCCUGUGAAGAUCUCUGUGCUCUCCUUCAUCAGAUUGUUAGAGGUGCGGGCUAUGUGUGCCGCCACGUAUCACAAUUUAUCGCCAGUCAGUUGUAAAUGGAAUCAUUCAGAAUUCUCUUUGUAUUCCUCUCCCUGCCUUCUUUAACCAAUUUAAUCUGGAAAGCAUGUACUAUCAGGCUGUGCUAGUCACUGUCUCCCUUGCCGAGAUACCUUAUGUUGCUGUUGCCCUUUAUUAAUUAUUUCUGUGCUUAGCCCACCCCAUCCUGAGGGUUCAGGAUGGGUGGCAGUACUUUAUUCUAUAAUUUAUACUUCUAAUGAGACUUUUAGAAUGGUGAAAAUUAGAGGGGAUGGAAACAUCUACUUAAACCUGACAAUUAAAAGAAUCCACCAAUACCAAGGCUUUUAAUACCAGGCGUCAAGCUCUUGAACAACUCCCAGUUUUAAGACAGAGGGGUUAUGUUUUGCUUUACAGCAUAUUUCAUCUCGGUUUUAAGGAGUUAAGAAGGCUAAGCUUUCCUGUUAUCAGUCAGUGUCAGUGCACUGCAGGUAUUUCAGGUGCCUCUCUGGGCAACUGGAGGGGUUCUGCACUCCUUGCAGCAGGUAACUGGUUUUGUUCCCAAUUAAGGAUUAGCUGAGGAAGUACUGAAAAUGGGUAGCAUACAUGGAAGCUGCUAACCUAUGUCAAGAAUUUCUACAAAAAAGACAAUGAAAUUCUUGAUUUUGAAUUUAGAAAACUUUGCAAACUGAUAGCCCCAUUCUUUAUGCAAGCUACGUAAAUACACAGAGAAAGGGUUUUUUAUAUUAAAGCCUUGGGAGAAAAAGAAAAGAGGGGGGAUGAUCAGUAGCUAUUCAGACUGCCCUUUAAAGUUCAGCAGCAAAAGGCAGGGGGAAAGGAUGGCUUGAGAGCAUCAUAACUAAGUCAUUAACCCCUCACGUCUCAGGAAAAGCUGUAAACCUUUACAUAGGCUAGAAAAAAAAGAACCUAAAUAAAUCUGCUUCAUGCUUUGCUUUCUCUUGACAGAGGGAACCCAUGCCCUUGAUUCUGAUCACCACUGCAAGAGAUGGUGUCUGAGACAUACCAGCUUCCCUUACACAUUUCAGACACCCAGUUUUCCCAAGUUUGGACAAAUUUCCGCAGCCAAGCAUGAAGGCGGUGAAAAUAACACAUGAAUCGCCUCACAUACAAGAAUAUUUAGUUCUAUAACAGUUUUGUUUUGGGGGCAAACCUUUGGUCUGAGGUGAACUCAAUAUUGCCCUUUAACCUGCGGGCUGGUCUUUAAUUGGUUCUUACUGUGAUGAAAUAUAUUUUAAAGCUAGAUGUUUUGUAUUUCUGGGGUUUGUUUGUUUUUUGCUUUAGCCUGUGGUUUUUUUAUUUUAAUAGUUAACCACACCAAUACGUUUUUGGGUAAAUAGCUGGUGAUCUGCCAGCCAUUUAGAGGAGGAAUUGAGUUCUGAGAUGUAGAGCACAUGCAUGCACACGGUCCCACAACGAACCCGUGCCACCGCCUAAAUAGAUCUUGGGCAGAAAGACUAGGAGAUGCAAGGCACUGCAGAACCAAAGCUGUUUAACAGUAGACAGUACUGGGGGAGAUGGUAGUUUCAAAUAUGUUCACCAUAAUUUCUAACCUUUAUACUUGUAAUGCAGAUAUCUUUACAGCAAAUAAAAAGUUGGCUUUCAACAUGCUUUGUCUGCCUGUUGUCCAAAGGGGCGUUUCCGCAUACAUUUUCAUCACCUGGUGACCAUAAUAAAAUGGGUGGUUUGUAUGCAUAAUACAGCCAUCACAGAUCUAAUGGCACCCAAAACUAUAGUUUUUAUGCUGUGACGCGCCCUGGGACCUUAGGCUGAAGGGUGGUUAAUCAUAAUAAUAUAGAUUCAGCCUUGGUGCUAAAUUUCCUUAUGUGCAAAUUGGGUGUUUUGACAUAAGCUUUUAGAUCCCUCUUCAUUAGAUGCAUGAAAUGUUAUCCUCAGUUGGCAGUUAUCAGCCAUCUGAGAACAACACUUCACGCGUCUGUGGAAGAGAACUCUAAGCUAGAAAACCUUAUGCACAAUAUUGGUAUGUUAGUUUUUUAAGGAGACACAAGAUGCUUCAUUGCAGACAUCUUUGCCUGAAUCAUCUCAGUAUACAGUAGAUUCCAAGAGCAACGGAGGCACAAAAAGCCUGUUUCUUCAUGUGGUUGAGCUGGUUGUAGAAAAAAAUGUUCUAAAGACCAGUUUAUGCAUUCUACAACCUCAGGCCUUGUUGCCUAGUUCUUUUAAAGUUGUCUCAAAAGUGCAUUCAACUUUGCCUUGCCUAUUUUUCAGCAUAAGCCCAAUAACUUCCAGUACAUUUGCCUGAAGGUGUAUUAUCCAGAAAAGCCCUUUAAAGAAGACAUUGGAGCAGGCAAUGCAGAAAGUACCUCCUGAAUUACAAUUCUGCAAUUAAUAAGGGGGAGGAGAGAUUGUGUCAUCAUAAGUUCUCACUACAUUCUCUGAAAACCUCGAGUAGGCUGUUGAUUUUUAAUUUUUUAUUAAGUAAAGCUGCUAUUCUUCCCUAACAUUGGAUAGAAUAAACGCUAUAAUCUGGCUCUGAAAGCUGUGUUGGAUGGGAGACCACCUGGGAACCAUCUGUAAGUUGCUUUGAGGUCUUUAGAGGAAGCACAUGGUAUAAGCAAUAAAUAAAUGAAGACUGUUUACGUUCAUA
Long non-coding RNA from Podarcis raffonei (Aeolian wall lizard), 4126 nucleotides. RefSeq lists it as uncharacterized. The record is from RefSeq and is a predicted model, not a curated record. The transcript is spliced from 2 exons. Lineage: Eukaryota; Metazoa; Chordata; Lepidosauria; Squamata; Lacertidae.